GUGGGUAUAGCUCAGUGGUAGAGUGAGUGCUUGGCGUGCACGAGGUCCUGGGUUCAUCCCCAGGACCUUCU
RNAcentral lists this transfer RNA (71 nucleotides) under Camelus bactrianus (Bactrian camel). It matches the Rfam family "tRNA". Rfam says of the family: Transfer RNA (tRNA) molecules are approximately 80 nucleotides in length. Their secondary structure includes four short double-helical elements and three loops (D, anti-codon, and T loops). The record is from Rfam by way of RNAcentral. Lineage: Eukaryota; Metazoa; Chordata; Mammalia; Artiodactyla; Camelidae. RNAcentral also lists the same sequence under 2 other names.